Molecule: long non-coding RNA, 667 nt
Filed under: Hordeum vulgare
Lineage: Eukaryota; Viridiplantae; Streptophyta; Magnoliopsida; Poales; Poaceae
Description: long non-coding RNA (HVUL_LNC013734)
Source: RNAcentral
CCAGUCUUACACGCGAGCAACCUACCAACCGCUCACACAGAAGCACACCCAAAAACAACAGAACGAGGCUAAAGUCAUAGUGUGCAUACAAAUAGAAGAAGCGAUUCCUAGCCUAGUGCAAACUCAUCAACAGCCACCGUGCAAAUCUUCUUCAUACUGCAACCUUGUUCAUACAAGCUCCUUCCCCGGUGCUUGUAUAGGUGAAGAGGCUUAGGGCUCUGGACGAAAGCCUUGGUUCAAUGGGGAUCGAAGGAUACCGGCGACGUUGCUUCUUGAAGUUGUCGUCGAAGAGUUCCCCCCCUUCACUAGACUGUGGUCUGUUUGUUCUAGGAUUGUCGUGGAGGCUGUUUGGUGUGGCUUGACUUUCCCAAGGUUUGGCGAAGUUGUUGUGGAUGACUCCGCACGAAAGCCUUGGUUCGAUGGGGUCGAAAGAUACCGGCGAGACGAUGGUUCUUGAAGGCGUCAUCGAAGAGUCCUCACACUUUUCAGGUUGUGAACAUUUUGGCGGUGGAGUUUGAGUUAUUGACGUCGGUAAGGGUUGUACGAUUGUCCUCUGUUCAAUCGUGUGUUGUAAGGUUUUUCGGCCUAGUUUCCCUUAUAAACUGGGUCACCUUGUCUUCUUUUUUCUCUCUUAAUGUAAAUCGGCAAUGCUCCUGCCUUGCACGUC